This 322-nucleotide ribosomal RNA is filed under the name Escherichia coli. RNAcentral describes it as "bacterial SSU rRNA". It matches the Rfam family "Bacterial small subunit ribosomal RNA", at positions 993 to 1315 of the family's 1533-position model. The record is from RNAcentral. Lineage: Bacteria; Pseudomonadati; Pseudomonadota; Gammaproteobacteria; Enterobacterales; Enterobacteriaceae.
GAACUUUCCAGAGAUGGAUUGGUGCCUUCGGGAACUGUGAGACAGGUGCUGCAUGGCUGUCGUCAGCUCGUGUUGUGAAAUGUUGGGUUAAGUCCCGCAACGAGCGCAACCCUUAUCCUUUGUUGCCAGCGGUCCGGCCGGGAACUCAAAGGAGACUGCCAGUGAUAAACUGGAGGAAGGUGGGGAUGACGUCAAGUCAUCAUGGCCCUUACGACCAGGGCUACACACGUGCUACAAUGGCGCAUACAAAGAGAAGCGACCUCGCGAGAGCAAGCGGACCUCAUAAAGUGCGUCGUAGUCCGGAUUGGAGUCUGCAACUCGA